RNAcentral lists this ribosomal RNA (292 nucleotides) under uncultured bacterium. Its description in RNAcentral is "partial 16S ribosomal RNA". The record is from RNAcentral.
GGACUACAGGGGUAUCUAAUCCUGUUUGCUCCCCCAGCUUUCGCGCCUCAGCGUCAGCUAUAGCCCAGAAAACCGUCUUCACCACUGGUGUUCCUCCACAUAUCUACGCAUUUCACCGCUACACGUGGAAUUCCGUUUUCCCUAACUACGCUCGAGCAUGCCAGUUUCAAAUGCAGUUCCACGGUUGAGCCGUGGAAUUUCACAUCUGACUUAACUUGCCGCCUACGCGCCCUUUACGCCCAGUAAUUCCGAUCAAUGCUUGCACCCUCCGUAUUACCGCGGCUGCUGGCAC